Molecule: long non-coding RNA, 272 nt
Filed under: Capsicum annuum
Lineage: Eukaryota; Viridiplantae; Streptophyta; Magnoliopsida; Solanales; Solanaceae
Description: long non-coding RNA (CANN_LNC019102)
Source: RNAcentral
UGCUUUAGUGCCUUAAAUCCAUCAUUAUGUGCUUUAUGUGUUAUAUCUUAUGGGCCAAAUUGCAUUCUUAUAGAUGACAGCGCCUUGGAUAAUGCCUUUACACUUGAUUCCUUCCUAUACUACCUCUUUGCCUAUGAUGACAUCCAUACUAGUUUUGGAUUUGUAUUAUGUAGAGGUAGGGAACUUAUUGGUUGGUCCACUUAUUUGAAUGACAAUGCUAUGUGGUUUUGGUGGACUAUAAGACCAAUAGUGGCACCACUUUUGAUGAGGAC